CGAACGCUGGCGGCGUGCUUAACACAUGCAAGUCGAACGCGAAAGGGACUUCGGUCCUGAGUAAAGUGGCGCACGGGUGAGUAACGCGUAGAUAACCUGUCUUCAUGUCUGGAAUAAUACGCCGAAAGGGGUACUAAUACCGGAUAUCUUGCUUUUCAUAAGUUAUGCAAGCAAAGGUGGCCUCUGCAUAUGCUACUGCAUGAAGAGGGGUCUGCGUACCAUUAGCUAGUAGGUGGGGUAAUGGCCUACCUAGGCGACGAUGGUUAGCGGGUCUGAGAGGAUGAUCCGCCACACUGGCACUGGAACACGGGCCAGACUCCUACGGGAGGCAGCAGUGAGGAAUAUUGCGCAAUGGGGGAAACCCUGACGCAGCGACGCCGCGUGAGUGAGGAAAAGGCCUUCGGGUCGUAAAGCUCUGUCAAGAGGAAAGAAGUGUACAAUGGCUAAUACCUGUUGUAUUUGACGGUACCUCUAAAGGAAGCACCGGCUAACUCCGUGCCAGCAGCUGC
This 509-nucleotide ribosomal RNA is filed under the name uncultured bacterium. RNAcentral describes it as "bacterial SSU rRNA". It matches the Rfam family "Bacterial small subunit ribosomal RNA", at positions 30 to 518 of the family's 1533-position model. The record is from RNAcentral.